UAGCUACUCUUAUCGAUACCAGAUUGUUGUUGUUGCAUAUGGCUACUCUGUUGAAAAGGCCAGGAAAAGAGGUGUAGCAGGCAGGUAACGAGGCGUAAAGAAAUUCCUAGAUCCUAGAAACGGCGCUGUUCCGUUCUGAAUGUGACUACGGCCGACCGGGUUGCAAAUGAGACCCUGCAGCUGCGAUGACUGAUCUCCUUCUACAAUUAUAUAUUCACGUUGGAUACGUACCUUGGGAUUCCGGUAGGACUAACGGUUUAUCAACAACGAUUAAGACUCAUCGUACGACUGCCCAUAGAUAUAUAUAUAUAUAUAUAUUCAACCAAUGGAAAUUGUUACGUGCAUUCAUGAGUAUUCAUAUGUUCUUGCGUAGACGUCCGUCGGGACGAUGCGAUUUGAUUCACUUGUAUUUUUUUUUCAUACGUGAGAAGUAACUAUAUUAGUUGGACAUCAAAAUAUCUUCACUUUUAAAAUUUCAAUUUAUUACUUUACUAUUACUUGAUAUGUUCUCAAAUUCUUUCUGUCUUUUUUUUUCAUUCUGCACCUCACUGUUUGUCUCUCCCAAUGAAAGAGGAGAUGGAUGAACCGGAAUGCGGCAUCGUCGUCCAAGGAGAACUACUCUGCGCUGCACCCUAGAUUCGCAUUCACAUCUGUAUGGACGUAUACGUAUAUUACUAUUUGCCAUACAAUUUUAAAGCACAGGUUUAUCUUUAGACGGGACUAUUGGCAGCUCUUCCGCGAGAAAAGGUCGCCGAUUCUGUAUUAAUAAUAAUUAGUAAUGAUUUAUCUUGUAGAGAUGAUAACUCCUAAUGGACUCUGAGGAACUGAGUGAACGUAAUUAUGAGGAUUUACUCUAGUCGAGUAAAGGGAGGAUAUCGGAUGAUAUUAUAAGGACCAUUCGAAGGAGCUGCCUAACAGGGAGGAGCCAUCUGUGUCACGGCCAGUAUCUUAAUGAGUGACCGAGCUACUGUAAUUCAGUGUGAAUGCCAUACGAAAAUACGAAGAAAGCAACCGGGGCGACGGGUGAAAGUCAUCCAAAAUGUCACUGAGUUUAACCUUAACGUUGCGGAGUACGAGCGAGGAGCGCGAGUUAUGCGGCAACCUAUAACGGAGAAGGGUGGAGAAGGAGAAACCUCUUGCAUAAGCUACCCUCUAGGCUCUUCGUUAUCGUCAUACGUACGCCCGGUGGCUUAAUGUCGAAGUUAAAUUCAUAAGAAAGGCUGCGUCUAUGUGCACACAGUCAAUUUUGACAGGAUUCGGACACUGUUGUAACAGUUACUAAUAACAGAAGGGGAAAUACGUACAUUGUAGAUAUCUAAGCAUAUGUAUCAUAAUGUAACAGAAAUAUGAAAGGCAGGGGUGAAAAUUAGCGAGACAGCAAGAAAACAUAUUGCAAGAGGUUCCAUGAAUGUUGGUCAACUUGCAAGCCAAUGGGUCACGUACGAGAAAUGCAGUUAUGCGUCCCACGCAACUUUAUAAGAACCCACGGAAGCCCAGCCCCUGAGGAACAAUGCGUUUUGAACGCGCCGCCGAUUGCUGGUUGCACAUAUAUGUAGUUGUUCGUGGAUAUAUGUCUAUCAGGCACGCGUACAGGUGGUAAAAAAUUAACAGAAACACCGUCACGCCCAAGUCACGGGCGUGACCCAUGCAUAAAGAUGCCCGGGUCACGUAACUUUCCUUUGAUAUAAGGCAUUAAGGCUCUUGUGUAGUACAUUUAAAAUUUUCAGACUUUUGCCAAUCUACAUUUUUGCUUAUGCAUUAAGCAAUUAGGAUUGAGACAUGUGAAUUUCUGUUUCCGGAGGCAGUGGCAUCGUCAAAAAGAAUAUCUACAUAUACUCGCAGCGGAUUCGCCGUAUUCGAAAGUUUUCUGGAAAGGUCGAGGACGAUCCUCUGUACGAGCGUAAAUAUAUAAAUUAAGUUUUUUUCCCCUUGUAUAGUUCGGGAAUGUAAUUUCGUCUUCCUGGAUUAUUGGGAAUGGCCAGCGCAGCUCGGGCGUGGUCGUCAAGAAAGCCGGGAAAGUGAUAUCAGAGUCUGGAACGAGUGUGUCCGUGUUCUCCUAGUCAACAUGCAAGAACCCAAUGGCGCACGACAACCUAGUGAGUGUCGUCACGGAAUAACUGGUUCGUGUGUGCGUCGUUUCUCCUUGCACUGUAACGUCAAUUCCUAGCCGAUUUCCUUGCUUUGCGAGAAAUUUGCACGUUGUUAUCCGAAGUAUGUACUGAGAUAUACCUAACUUAACAAUAAGGAAAAGGUAUAUAAUAUCAUUAUUCGGAGACUCUUAUUAAGUAUGGACAUAGCGUAGUUUCAGUCUAGAGACUCUCUCGCAAGGAGAGAUGUGACCACAGCUAUGUCCCAGUUACAUGUGACUACUGAUGCUCUUUCUACAUUUACUAUAGGCAGUGUAUAGCUUUUGGUACGAAGCAAUCGUAUUCACAAUUUGCGCACGCUUGAGGCUCCCUCCGUUUAACCAUUCGCGGCCAUUUUGAAUGUUAAAGGAGCAUCGGAGAAGCGCUAUGUGAGGGUACAUAGGUACCCUCGAUUUGGUGUCUGAUUUAAAUAUUCCGACGGCGUGUCGCCAUUUUCUAAGAAUCUUUGACUACAUUUCAUUGCCUUAUGAAUGGCGCGAACACCUUCUCGAAGGUGGAAACCUUUUUAGAGAGAUCUUCCGUUAUAGAAGUGUAUGCUGGAGGUUAGUUAAUGGUAGUGACAGCAGCGCACUCUGUUGGCAGAAGCGGAAGGUAUUUCCUUCGCAAAAUGCAA
Cephus cinctus (wheat stem sawfly) is the source of this 2760-nucleotide long non-coding RNA. RefSeq lists it as uncharacterized. The transcript has 4 exons. Lineage: Eukaryota; Metazoa; Arthropoda; Insecta; Hymenoptera; Cephidae. The record is from RefSeq and is a predicted model, not a curated record.